This is a long non-coding RNA of Peromyscus leucopus (white-footed mouse), 516 nucleotides long. RefSeq lists it as uncharacterized. Lineage: Eukaryota; Metazoa; Chordata; Mammalia; Rodentia; Cricetidae. The transcript has 2 exons. The record is from RefSeq and is a predicted model, not a curated record.
CUUUCAUAAUUAAUAAGUCUCUGUAUCUUUUUUUUGUGUGUGAGCUGGUGGCCCAAAGAAAAAUCCGUCUACAUAGUACAAAACAGAGUGUGUCUACAGGUGCACGAAUGGGUUUAUUUUCUGGAAGGAGGAAGGCGGACAGGAACUUCAGACAUCACUUGUGAAAUAGGCGCCGGUCACCUCACCCAACCUCAAGCCUCUCCACAGAGGCCCCGGGACAGAAAAGGCACUCCAGCGAUUGAUGUCAGCGACCCACGGAGGGAAGAGCAGUUCCUGGUCUCCGGAGACAACCCAGGAACUAAUUUCUCUUAAUCAGUUGUAGGGCCUCAGGAGAAGCCACCAGGCAAGAAGGGGAAAUAAAUCUGAAGGAGAACACCAAAUUCUGUGAGGCGCUGGGAAGACCUGUAUUAAAAAAGGGGCACCAUACCUUUAGGACUGAAAUGCUGGCAGGGCCCCAUCCCUAUGCAGCUAUUAAUAUGCAAAAAAUGCCUUCAUAAAUACUUGAUUCUGCUCACA